GUCUGACCAACCUCCUCCCGCAAACUGUUUUGGCCUCUGAAGGAGGAGGAGGUCAGGCAUGGU
RNAcentral lists this non-coding RNA (63 nucleotides) under Homo sapiens (human). Lineage: Eukaryota; Metazoa; Chordata; Mammalia; Primates; Hominidae. RNAcentral also lists the same sequence under 1 other name. The record is from miRBase by way of RNAcentral.